RNAcentral lists this ribosomal RNA (507 nucleotides) under uncultured bacterium. RNAcentral describes it as "bacterial SSU rRNA". It matches the Rfam family "Bacterial small subunit ribosomal RNA", at positions 28 to 521 of the family's 1533-position model. The record is from RNAcentral.
GAUGAACGCUAGCGACAGGCCUAACACAUGCAAGUCGAGGGGCAGCGGGGAGGUAACAAUACCUUUGCCGGCGACCGGCGCACGGGUGAGUAACACGUAUGCAAUCCACCUGUAACAGGGGGAUAACCCGGAGAAAUCCGGACUAAUACCCCAUGAUAUGGGCUCUCCGCAUGGGGGGGUCCAUUAAAGAGAGCAAUCUUGGUUACAGACGAGCAUGCGCUCCAUUAGCCAGUUGGCGGGGUAACGGCCCACCAAGGCGACGAUGGAUAGGGGUUCUGAGAGGAAGGUCCCCCANAUUGGUACUGAGACACGGACCAAACUCCUACGGGAGGCAGCAGUGAGGAAUAUUGGUCAAUGGCCGAGAGGCUGAACCAGCCAAGUCGCGUGAAGGAAGAAGGAUCUAUGGUUUGUAAACUUCUUUUAUAGGGGAAUAAAGUGGAGGACGUGUCCUUUUUUGUAUGUACCCUAUGAAUAAGCAUCGGCUAACUCCGUGCCAGCAGCCGCGGU